CCCUACGGGAGGCAGCAGUGGGGAAUAUUGCACAAUGGGGGGAACCCUGAUGCAGCGAUGCCGCGUGGAGGAAGAAGGUUUUCGGAUUGUAAACUCCUUUUAUCAGGGACGAUAAUGACGGUACCUGAAGAAAAAGCUCCGGCUAACUACGUGCCAGCAGCCGCGGUAAUACGGAGGGUGCGAGCGUUAAUCGGAAUUACUGGGCGUAAAGCGCUCGUAGGCGGUAUGUCAAGUCAAGGGUGAAAUCCCCGCGCUCAACGUGGGAACUGCCUUUGAAACUGGCAAACUGGAGUGUGUGAGAGGAU
RNAcentral lists this ribosomal RNA (305 nucleotides) under uncultured bacterium. Its description in RNAcentral is "bacterial SSU rRNA". It matches the Rfam family "Bacterial small subunit ribosomal RNA", at positions 337 to 659 of the family's 1533-position model. The record is from RNAcentral.